GAGUUUGAUCCUGGCUCAGAAUCAACGCUGGCGGCGUGCCUAAUACAUGCAAGUCGAGCGGUAAGGCCCCUUCGGGGUACGACGAGCGGCGGACGGCUGAGUAACACGUAGGAACAUACCCCGAAACUGAGGGAUAAGCACCAGAAAUGGUGUCUAAUACCGCAUGUGGUCUAAGGACUAAAGCUACGGCGGUUUGGGAAUGGCCUGCGUAUGAUUAGAUAGUUGGUGAGGUAACGGCUCACCAAGUCGACGAUCAUUAGCUGGUCUGAGAGGAUGACCAGCCAGACUGGGACUGAGAACGGCCCAGACUCCUACGGGAGGCAGCAGUAGGGAAUUUUUCCACAAUGGGGGCAACCCUGAUGGAGCAACGCCGCGUGCAGGAUAAGGCCUUAGGGUUGUAAACUGCUUUUUAUCUGUGACGAAUUUGACGGUAGCAGAUGAAUAAGGAUCGGCUAACUCCGUGCCAGCC
RNAcentral lists this ribosomal RNA (469 nucleotides) under uncultured bacterium. RNAcentral's name for it is "bacterial SSU rRNA". It matches the Rfam family "Bacterial small subunit ribosomal RNA", at positions 9 to 513 of the family's 1533-position model. The record is from RNAcentral.